UACGAAGGGGGCUAGCGUUGUUCGGAAUUACUGGGCGUAAAGCGCACGUAGGCGGCUUUGUAAGUUAGAGGUGAAAGCCCGGGGCUCAACUCCGGAAUUGCCUUUAAGACUGCAUCGCUAGAAUUGUGGAGAGGUAAGUGGAAUUCCGAGUGUAGAGGUGAAAUUCGUAGAUAUUGGGAAGAACACCGGUGGCGAAGGCGGCGACCUGGUCCAUUACUGACGCUGAGGCGCGACAGCGUGGGGAGCAAACAGG
Molecule: ribosomal RNA, 253 nt
Filed under: uncultured bacterium
Lineage: Bacteria
Description: partial 16S ribosomal RNA
Rfam family: Bacterial small subunit ribosomal RNA
Source: RNAcentral